UCCGUUUUGAACUCUGUCAGACUGUCAGUUAAGAAACGCAGCUGAGUCUGUAUUCACAUUGUUUGGACUUGUCCGUGGUCCCCACUCUCCAACACCAUCAGCACACCAAGUCACCAACUUUCUGUAGUCUACACAGGGAAACACAGAGCAAAAACUCCCUACAAUUUCCCUCUAUUCUCUCUCCAAAUUCGAGGCUCAGAGGGGUUCUAUCGAUCAAUUAAAAUUAAGGCUUUUAUUCUUUCGGCUUCAGUUUAUUCUUCAAUUUUUUAAUGUUUCUUUGAUUUUCUAUUUAUGAAGGUUUGAAUUUUAGAGGAAAUGGAGUAUGUGGGGAGAAAGGUGAAGAAAGAGUUUGAAGGGCAUGGUACAUUCUUCGGUUCUGUUGAAUCGUACGACGCUUCAACUAGGUUUUUCAAGAUCGUGUACGAGGACGGCGAUUCCGAGGAAUUGGACUUGACUGAAAUUAGUUCUCUAUUGGUGUCUUCAGAGGGACUGGAGUCGGCUCGGGAAGCGCAGCCAUCCUCCGCGGAGGAGCCCACCAGAAGGCUUGUUCGCAAGCGGAGGAAGCGGAGCCAUAUGAAUACAGGUAAAAUUGGUAUUUCAGUAAUAGAGAGUGGCGUUUCUGGUAAUUCUGGGGACAUGGAAUUAAAUGCGGUUGGUUUGAAUUUGAAUGAAGGGUUGGAUUUAAAUGAUGAUGGGUUUAAUAAUUUAAAUGAUGAUUAUGAGGGGACUUUGGGUAAUAAUUGUGAUGUUGGUGGGGCUAAGCUGCAAGGUGUGAAUUUGAAUGAAGCUGUGAAUUUGGAAUCGAGGGAUGAGGGCAUGGCUUUAAGUGAAAGGGUUUCAGAUGAUAGGUUGGGGAAAAGAAAAGAAUUAAUUGAUUUAAAUUUGGAUGUAAAUGAAGAUUCUGAGAAUUUCAGUCCCAAUGGAAAAAGGGUUUGUUUUGACUUGAAUUUAGAGUUGUCAGAGAG
Molecule: long non-coding RNA, 965 nt
Filed under: Olea europaea subsp. europaea
Lineage: Eukaryota; Viridiplantae; Streptophyta; Magnoliopsida; Lamiales; Oleaceae
Source: RNAcentral